ACUCCUACGGGAGGCAGCAGUGGGGAAUAUUGCACAAUGGGGGAAACCCUGAUGCAGCCAUGCCGCGUGUGUGAAGAAGGCCUUCGGGUUGUAAAGCACUUUCAGUAGGGAGGAAGGUAGUGUAGUUAACACCUGCACUAUUUGUACGUUACCUACAGAAGAAGCACCGGCUAACUCCGUGCCAGCAGCCGCGGUAAUACGGAGGGUGCGAGCGUUAAUCGGAAUUACUGGGCGUAAAGCGCAUGCAGGCGGCCUGUUAAGUCAGAUGUGAAAGCCCGGGGCUUAACCUCGGAAUUGCAUUUGAAACUGGCAGGCUAGAGUCUUGUAGAGGGGUUAGAAUUUCAGGUGUAG
Molecule: ribosomal RNA, 351 nt
Filed under: uncultured bacterium
Lineage: Bacteria
Description: bacterial SSU rRNA
Rfam family: Bacterial small subunit ribosomal RNA
Source: RNAcentral